AUUGAACGCUGGCGGCAGGCCUAACACAUGCAAGUCGAACGGUAACAGGAAGAAGCUUGCUUCUUUGCUGACGAGUGGCGGACGGGUGAGUAAUGUCUGGGAAACUGCCUGAUGGAGGGGGAUAACUACUGGAAACGGUAGCUAAUACCGCAUAACGUCGCAAGACCAAAGAGGGGGACCUUCGGGCCUCGUGCCAUCGGAUGUGCCCAGAUGGGAUUAGCUAGUAGGUGGGGUAACGGCUCACCUAGGCGACGAUCCCUAGCUGGUCUGAGAGGAUGACCGGCCACACUGGAACUGAGACACGGUCCAGACUCCUACGGGAGGCAGCAGUGGGGAAUAUUGCACAAUGGGCGCAAGCCUGGUGCAGCCAUGCCGCGUGUAUGAAGACGGCCUUCGGGUUGUAAAGUACUUUCAGCGGGGAGGAAGGGAGUAAAGUUAAUACCUUUACUCAUUGACGUUACCCGCAGAAGAAGCACCGGCUAACUCCGUG
Molecule: ribosomal RNA, 490 nt
Filed under: uncultured bacterium
Lineage: Bacteria
Description: partial 16S ribosomal RNA
Rfam family: Bacterial small subunit ribosomal RNA
Source: RNAcentral